This 63-nucleotide transfer RNA is filed under the name Urocitellus parryii (Arctic ground squirrel). RNAcentral describes it as "Spermophilus parryii (Arctic ground squirrel) tRNA". It matches the Rfam family "tRNA", at positions 1 to 62 of the family's 71-position model. Rfam says of the family: Transfer RNA (tRNA) molecules are approximately 80 nucleotides in length. Their secondary structure includes four short double-helical elements and three loops (D, anti-codon, and T loops). Further hydrogen bonds mediate the characteristic L-shaped molecular structure. tRNAs have two regions of fundamental functional importance: the anti-codon, which is responsible for specific mRNA codon recognition, and the 3' end, to which the tRNAs corresponding amino acid is attached (by aminoacyl-tRNA synthetases). tRNAs cope with the degeneracy of the genetic code in two manners: having more than one tRNA (with a specific anti-codon) for a particular amino acid; and 'wobble' base-pairing, i.e. permitting non-standard base-pairing at the 3rd anti-codon position. Lineage: Eukaryota; Metazoa; Chordata; Mammalia; Rodentia; Sciuridae. RNAcentral also lists the same sequence under 1 other name. The record is from Rfam by way of RNAcentral.
GGGGAUUUAACUCAGUUGGUAGAGUGCUUGCCUUGCAUGCACAAGACUUGGGUUCAAUCCCCA